AAUCCAUGGUGAGGGCAAUCACGUUCAUGCUCCUUAAAAUGUUCCCAGGCUUUAUAGAAAGAUUCAGUUAGCCCUUAUUGAAAGUUUGAGAUCUUUGUUCUCAACU
This is a small nucleolar RNA of Eutrema salsugineum, 106 nucleotides long. It matches the Rfam family "Plant small nucleolar RNA R71". Rfam says of the family: R71 is a member of the C/D box family of snoRNAs containing the C (UGAUGA) and D (CUGA) box motifs. Multiple nearly identical copies of this snoRNA have been identified in Arabidopsis, and it is thought to function as a 2'-O-ribose methylation guide for 18S ribosomal RNA. Lineage: Eukaryota; Viridiplantae; Streptophyta; Magnoliopsida; Brassicales; Brassicaceae. The record is from Rfam.